UAUAAAUAAUUUUUUAUAUGCAUUUGGUUACAGUGAUAAAUAUCAACAAUAUAUACAUACAUCUAUUUAUAUUAACUCCUAAAUAAGUUUUUCUAAUCAUAAAUUUGUUCAAACAAAUAUAUAUUUUACUCCAUUCAAAUCGGCACAUUUUGUAUAAAAAAUUACUGAAUAAAAAAAUGCAACUGAAUUAUUAAAAAAACUGCAAUUGUCCCGAAACGUCCGUCAAUAAAGUGACAAAAUUUCAUACGUGUCCGUGAGAAAAAAAAAUGAUCCUGAUGAAUGGCCGGAGAUGAAAUUCUCUACAGGAAGUUCCGGUAGCGUCGAAUCUACAGAAGUUACCUUCUGCAGCUAAUUCUUGGGAUCAGUGAAGCGCCGCAAAGAAGAAAUAAGAAGAUAUCUAAGGAUCCACAGUGUGGCGGCGAAAUUACCGGUCUUCAAAUUCUUAUCGGUAGUAUUCCUCAUUUUCUCAAAGCCGGAAAGGAUGUCGAACGUGUUAGCGCCGGAGCUCUCGUCUACCUUUGCCGUUGUCCUCGAAAACCUCACUGCUAAGGUAUGCCCAAUUUUCUUACCCUCUUUGCUCAAUUUUGAUUCACAACCAAAAUUCCCAAUUCAUAGAUGACUGUGAUAUGAAUUGUAUAAGGACUGAGUUGGCUCAAACACAUUCAAUUGGUAGCGAGAAAGGAUGAAAAGCUGAAGAAGCUUCUUGAAGAUGUUAUCAAUUUCGAACGGAGGUGUGUUGCCCAAUUUAUAAGUAUUCUAUAUUAUUUUAUUACAUAUUUAUUUAUAAAAUGAUAUAAUAAACUAAUUAAUUAAUAAAUUCUUAAAUAAGUAUUCUAUAUUGUUUUAUUACAUAUUUAUUUAUAAAAUGAUAUAAUAAACUAAUUAAUAAAAGAAAACAAUAAUUGGACGGUAUAAGUAUUUAAUAUUAUUUUAUUAUAUAUUUAUUUAUAAAAUGAUAUAAUAAACUAAUUACUAAUAACACAUUAUUUAAGAUUACUUUUUGAUUUAGACUCCAAACACUAGUCGUACACGAGGCAUAAUUAUGUGAUGCCAAUGACAACAAUAGGGGACUAUCGUUGCCCGAAAGGCAGGUUUUGGAGAACGUAGACGAGCAGAAACUUCUUUUCAGCAUUGAAUUCUCCAAGCUACUACUCCUUAAAUAUGGGCUUUUUAAAUUAUAAUUAUAAUUAUAAUUAAAUGCCUCAAAAAUGGAGUAGCUUCUUUCUUUAUCCAAGUAAAUUACUAUCCGUUGACAAGAACCACAACCAUGAACAAUCAAAAACCGUCUUAAUAAAACUUUCAAUGUACAUUACUCCCUCCUUUCCUUUCUUUCUUAAUAUAAAUCGUUUUAGAAAAAUAUUUUUAUUUCUAUUUAAAAAUUUCAAAUAAACAUUAAUGACUUAAUUUUUAAUAUUAACCCAAAUAAUAAAUAUAAAUUUAAUUCUCUCACUAUUUUUUAUCCAAUAAAUAACAUUAUUUUUUUUUAAUACAAGAACAAUAUAAAUAAUUAAUAUUAUAUUUAAUAUUAUACAAUUAUUUUCUUAAUAUUUAUACACAAUUUUAAAAUUACUUAUAUUAAAAAACAGAGCGAAUAAUAUUUAAUAUUUAUUACGAAAAAUUUAGAUAGAAGAAAGGAUAAAGAUGAUACGACCAAAAACUGCACUUAUCUAUAUAGACAUUAAAUACCGACAUAAUAACUGCCCUUUUCCCAAUUUAGGCGUAUAAAUAUUGCAUGGGAAAUGCGGGCCCAGAUAUGAUUCGAGAACAUUUUAUAAAAAUUAAGGGGAAAAAAAGAGAGAAAAAAACACCCUAAGUACUGAAGAUAAAAAGCACGAUCUCACUAAUUCAAAUGGUUGUUUCAAGGCAACCCACAACUACAUGCUGAUUAUGUCACUCUUAAACUGCGCCUGUGAGGUAAUAUUCUCUCCCUCUCUUAGACAGUGUACGAUUGCUGAAUUGUAUCUAUAUCAAGACCCUUCAAUCUCACCACCGACUCAACGUGACCUUUCAGUGUGUGUAGUUCUCUCAACCUGGAAAGCAAAUCAACAAAACUACACACGGUUACCAUCAGCUAAUAAAAUCAAAUAUGCAUAUGCCCAAAAAGCUGGACUCAACUGAACAAUCAAAAAUCGAGUCUUGCUUCAUGGUACAGUAAUAUCAUGCUAACAAUGAUAAAGAUUUCAAAUCCAUUCACAAAUCUAUAAGUGCUGGCUUUCAAUUUAACUACUUACCUGGCAAUUUCAGCUCUUCUUUUAGCUUCUUCAGCCAUCUGAUUGAGCUCCGUGAAAUUGUUUCGGUCAUUAAACAUUUUGGUGUCAGGUACGUCAAGCCCAUGAAGGGUUCUUUGUGCAUGUGCCCAUUUAAGCUCACGUUGUUCCUUUCCGAAAUCCUUUUGCCUAGUGAAAGCAAUCUGCAAAACAAGACCAUCAUAAAGAAGAGCAUAUGUAGAUAAUUAUUAUGAAAACACAUCAAUUGUGAUACCCCAGAGCAUAUCAGAGAACCAUUCAUACCCUUCGCUCUAGAACAAGAUCCCAGGCCCUUCCACUUAGAGCGUAUCGGAUAAAGAACUUUAUGAUAUCAAGAGGGAUAUAGAAGAUGAUAUUAUAGAGCCAAAUUACGCCAGCCCAACCCCAUCCAAUUCCUUCAAUAGCAGCAAAACUCCAAUUUGCAUAAACCGCAAUCAAAGUAGCAAUCUGGUUGUAAUGAAAAAUAAAAAUAAUAAGAUUUUCAUUCAAUCACUCAAAAGGAAAAAGCAGAAAUGUGAAAUCAUAGUUUACUCACCAAUUGAGCAACCGCAAAGGCCACGACAAGUAACACACCAGGACGCUCAACGAAGGACCAACUUCGAGAUCGUGUGACAAAUAUUAGGGCCUGACUAAUAGUGCUCACUUGAAGAUAUAUGGCUGAAGCAAGCUUUCUAAAAUCAUCAUGAGCCGUUUUCUCAAGAGAUGCCACCCCAAACACAUUCUGCCAGGUUAUAAAAAAGAGCAAAUCAUCAAUAUUUCAAAAAUUAUCACCAUCACUGAACCAAUAUAGCAUCUAGAUGCUGCCAAAAUAGCAAGCCCAAACAGAAAAUCAAUACAAGUGACAAAACAUAAAAUUAUGAGAUUAAAUGAGAAUGUCAACUCAGCUAUAUUAAUUCUAACCCCCAUCAAAGAAAGUGAGGUUAUUCAUGUGAACAAAUAGUGGAGACAGGUUUCAUGAGAAGAUUGAGUGUGACAAUCAAACUUAUCUAUUGUAGCAUAAAAAAGAACUACAUUACGACAUAAAAAAGAACACUACGGAGUCAUUAAAAUUUAUCAACUGCAAAAGAUAUUAACAGGAGGAUAUGAAAGAUUUAUAAUCAUCCAGGUGCAUCCUUUAUGUAAAAUCAUCUUGAUGGCAAUUAAAAGAUUUGCGUACCGGGAAGAAGUUUGUUUUAUAUGCAGCCCAAAAGAAUAUAACAGUCAUCAUUGCCAAGUAACUACCAAGAACGAUGCCAGUCGUAAAAAUCUCAGCAAGCUUCCAGCUGUCUGGCAGAGGAGAUGGUUUCACCCUAUCCUUCGAUAUUGUCAUGAUGGUACCUGGGAGAAAACAGCUGCUAGUUAGAGGCAAAGCAUCUCUGGUUCCACAGAAGAAUUGCAAGGGUCCGCUUAAUCCCCGUCUAGGCGCUAGGCGGUCCCUCUACCACCUGGAUUUGGAUGGCCACCUAGGCGAAAUCAAACGUCUACCACAUCGAUUUUAAAAGCUUUGAAGCUCUACAACACUUGAAAUGAAUUUGCUAAGCAUAUUAUAUUUUGGAAAUUUUCAUGUAUAUUUUAAAAAAUUACAUAUAUAUGCUUUGUAUAGAUAGAAAAUUAAAUAAAUAAAUAACAUUGCCUAUGAAAAAGCCUAGUCCGCCUAAAAAAAGGUCUACUAAUUAACCAUAGCAACCGGUGGCAUAGUAAUUAACAUCUGCCCUUGAUAAUGAAUAUGGUUCAGCUCCAUUUUACCCUUCAAACUCCAUGAGAUAACAUAUACAUUUGGGAACCACAACGUUUGCAGUGUUUGUGGGAGAAGAAAAAACUAACCAUCAUUAAGGAUUGCAAUGAUGAGCACCAUAAAAGGUGGAAAGUCAAAUUUCCAUAUCAGAGCCAGCAGCAUAAAACCAAGCUGUCACGAACAAAAUGCGUAUGGGGUACAAAAUUAUAUGUCGAGAAUUUUGUAAUAAUGACGCAUAUAAUAAAGAAUCCAAAAUAAGGACUAUGAGAUGCCAAUUUAUAAGACAACUCCUCCCAACAACUUACCACUAUACGAAUUGUUAUAGAGACCGCAUAUAUCUGCCAAAGAGGAGAAGAAAGAAAGGGGUUAAGUUGAGCUUAAAAAAGUCAGACUAUAUAGGGCUUUUAGCCAUAUACAAAACAUCAGGAUAGAGACCCCCAAUGAUAAAGGUGUAAUAAGAUGUAAACCAGCCUGGAGUAGAAUUAAUUAAAUUUCAAGAAUAUACACCUUUAUCAAAACUAAAGGUUACCGUAUAAUUUUUCAUUCUCUGAAAGAUUGCCCGACUGGUCAAAACAGCACUAAUGAUAACGCUGAGUCCCGGUUCAGUAAGGACAAUAUCAGAAGCACUACGAGCUGCAUCAGUCGCAUCAGCCACAGCAAUCCCAAUAUCAGCCUUCUUAAGAGCAGGAGCAUCAUUAACGCCAUCACCAGUCAUUCCGCAUAUGUGUUUCCUAGCUUGCAAGCGCUUUACUAUCUCAUAUUUAUGCUCUGAAAACAAUGAAAUCAAAUCAUAGUAUCAUACAAGCAAUUUGGGGAACCAAAUUGUAAAAUGUAGCAUGCAUAGAUCAUUCCACCAAAUAUAAAUGCAACAUAAGAAAACACAUAAUGGUAUACCAGGGAAAACACCAGCAAAACCAUCUGCUUUCUCUAUGAGCUCGUCAAUUGGUAAAGCAGCAAUAGACUCAUCCUUGUCCUGUCCCAACAAAGCAGAAGAAGGAUACAUGUUGGUUCCCAUUCCCAAGCGGCGUCCAGUUUCUUUUCCUAUUGCCAGUUGAUCCCCUGUUACAAAUUUCAAGUUCAGCAAUUGGAAAGUAGAUCUGACUUUUUUCUGAAACGAUAUUAUAAACCGCGAUUUUGAUAAUGUCAAUUUUAUCCAAAUAUUUCAAGUCCCUACUUUUUUCAGGACAACUAAAGAGAAUCAACGGAUGAUAGGAGAAACCAUUCCCAUAGAAGCCUUUUUAGUAUACGAGGUUUAUUUUCAUAAUACCUACCCAAUCAUGAUAAUUGAUCAAUACAUGAAAGACAAGACACACUAGAAUUGCAUUACAUAAACGUUAUCCUCUGAGUUAUAUACUUAUAUGUAUGCUCGACUUCUGUAACCACAGCCUUUUGAAUUAAGGCCUUCUCUAUUAGUGUCCAUUUUGAUGCAAUUACAGAGAAGAGAUCAAUAGAUGAUUGUUCACUUGGUACAUUAUAAUUAUAGGCUCAAUCCCCAUAGAUCUAUGGGCUGUAAUGUAAAAUAUCAGAGGGAACCUCUAAAAUUAAAGCACCUAGCAAAGGAUGUCUAAGGUUUAGGUGGGGCAUGGCUUAGCCAGCACCCCCCUCCAGUCCAUCCACCCCUGUUCACAACCUGGUCCAAGCAGUAAACUCGUAAAUAACCAUUAUUCUGUUUGCAGCCAAUAAUUGUGCAGAACGAGUAUAUAAAUAACAGAAAUUUAAUAAGUACCAUAAUUUUGGAUUGCAUCCAUCAGUUUAGCAGGCACAACUUGAAAUGAAAAUCUUUAAAAAAUUACAAAAAAAAAACAAAAAAUAUUCAACUUUUGCAUCAUUGCCACAAAACACAGCUAGAAUUUACACUAAAUGUUGUCGCAUACUUUUGGGGUGCUAAUUUAAAAACAUAUUAUAAUAUCAUAUAUUAAAUACAGUAUGAGUAGGAUAUUUUCUUGUGAUAUAUAUGUUUUAGUAUUUUUACAAUACUUCUCCACAUUAAACAUUAUUGACUAUAACCCAUAAAAAGUAUGCACCUGUAAUCAUUUUAACAUUUACUCCAAGAUUUAAAGCCCUCCUUAUCGUCUCUGCACUGUCAUGCCUGGGUGGAUCAAAGAGAGGCAUGAGACCUAUAAACUGCCAAGGUCCCCCAGGGCUCUCUUUCCUCCCCUCUGGAACUUCCUGCAUGGAAAAGGAGCAUAAUUAAAAAAUAUCACGAAGAUAUUUCAGUUUACAUCGCAUAGAGGAUCAUGAAAUAGAAAUAAAAACAAUUUACCUGAUAUGCUACAGCAAGUGACCGCAAACCUCGGUCCGCAAACUUAUCAAUUAUAGAAUGAACCCUACGCUCAAUAUCUGACUUAUUGUGUGCAAGAUUUAAUAUCUAAAGCAAUAUCAAAGGCAAAAAAUUAGGCUAUUGACUGACAAGAGAAGAUACAGUCACACGACUAAGCAUGCUGAGAAUGAUACCUGCUCCGGAGCACCUUUGCUGACCCUAUGCAUUUUACCUUGGCUGUCAAGAUAAGUCAAAGCUGUACGCUUGUCAGUGGGAUUGAAGGGAAGGAAGUGUAGUUCUUGAAUACCAGCACGUGCCUGUCAUGGUGACAAUUCCCAAAGCAAAGAAGUAACUUAAAUGAGCAUCAGUCACCAAAACAAAUCUGCAAGCAAGUUCUGAUAUUUGAUUAUUCACCUCCUUAGGAUCAGCCAGCAUUCCAACUAUAGCAGAAUCUAUUGCAUCCUGGUUUUCUGUUCGGGAGGCUCGAGCUGCCAUCAGAACAACAGUAUCUGCAUCUACUCCUUUGGCAAAUACCUGAGAGAAGAGAUCAGGCAUGCGGUUAAACGUGAGCUAAAAUUUUCUCACCAAGAAAAUGGGUACAGAGUGGCACAAAUAAACUAACCUCAAUAAGAUUCUUAUCAACUGUAAGCUUGUUCAAUGUCAAAGUUCCAGUCUUGUCACUACAAAGCACGUCCAUACCCGCCAUCUCUUCUAUUGCUGUCAUUCUUUUCGUAAUUGCACCCUGUCAUUAUCAAGGUAUCCUUUCACACACCAGAAUCCAAUACUGCAUUAACCAAAGCAACCAAGGAAAUCUAACAAACCUGCUGAGCCAAGCGAUGAGAACCAAUGGCCAUUGUUACUGAUAAAACUGUGGGCAUGGCAAUUGGAAUUCCUCCAAUAAGAAGAACAAGAAGAUUGUCAAUUCCAGGGCGAUACUUCCUAUCUUGAAUGGGGUACUGUACGAUAAUCUCUAUAAUCAUCCCCACAGCAAUUGAGCAUAUACAAAAAUUUCCAAUUGCAGUCAAGACCUAUUCAGUUCAAGAAUGAAAUAAUAUCAGAACUGAUUUUCUAAAGGACAAGGCAACUUAAGAAUAAACACAACAGUUCUAUUUACUUGCCUUCUGAAAGUGGCCCACUUGGUUGGUAGAAUCAACAAGGUGAGCGGCCUUUCCAAAGAAAGUGUGAACCCCAGUGGCAAUUACCACAGCCUCGAUCUCUCCCUGUUUGCAAGUAGAACCAGAGUAAACGCCAUCCCCAGGGCCUUUGGUUACAGGAAGAGACUCACCAGUCAAAGCAGACUGCAUAUUGUGAAAAAGAUAACUUCAGCAACAGUUAUAAGACUUGACCGAUUCAACAGAAAGAUUACCUACAAGGCAAUGCUAAUAGCACACCCACCUGGUCAAUUUUCAAUGGAUCGCCAUCAAGCAGACGAGAAUCAGCAGGUACUAUAUCUCCGAGUUUUAUACUGAUUAUGUCCCCAGGCACUAAAAUAGCAGCAUCUUCCUCGUUCCACCUUCCAUCUCGAAGAACCUUCAUGACAAUGACAAUUAAAUAAAUACAAACUAAAUUUUACACAUUAAAACUCAACAAUCCUUAAUUUGAUCAUAACUACAUUAUAUUAUUGCAUUUUGUUGAGAAGUCAAGAGGAGGUGGUUGAGCGGUGGAAGUCAAAGGAACAUUCCCCCCUGUUUGGGAGACAGAGAAAAGGGUGACCGAAGUCAAAGUGGAGGGAUGUCCUUCCUCUCCACGCCCACAAAUUUCUUCCAUCCCUAUAGUACACAAAAAGGCAAAUUAUAUAAUCACCCAUUUUAAUUUUAUCGCAUCAUGGGCUUGCAAUCUUAACCAAUUAUAGUUGAUAUAAUGAUAAAAUUACAGUACAUCCAAACAAUGAAAAGUGACUUCCUGUUCCCCAUCCCUUACUCGUCCUAUCAGUUAAGGUAAAGGAAAGAGUAACCCUUCCCCAAGGGAAACUCUAUCUCCGGUAUACCAACCCCUCCCCUCUCCUUUUCCUUUAUCAUACCAAAUGAAUAGUUAAGAGUUUAUUGUACUAAAUUUACAAGAAAUGAAAAAUUAAACUCUAAUACCUUUGCUUUAGGAGCAAGACGCGCCAUGAGAGCAGCAGCUGCAUUGCCUGCAUUGUUCUCCUCGAUAAAACUAAUAGUUGAGUUAAUGGCUAGCAAAGUAAUGAUACCCACAAAAUCUUGCCAAUCAGGAGGCUUUCCCUGCAAGUAGUUAAGAACAUAUGGUUGGAUGAAUUUUAAAGGACCAAAUUUGAAUGAUAAAACUAGAUGAAUCAAAAAUAGUGUAUCUUACGCCUCCGUUGGCAAGGGCAAUUGCCAUGAUUGCAGCAGCUUCCAUAACCCAUGACAGAGGGUUCCACAUAAACCCCAAAAACUUCAAGAAUUUGCUCUCCUAAACACGUCACAAUAAAGGAAAAUGUGAAGAUACAAGGUAUAACAUUUAAACAAAGUUUAAACAGAGAUAAACACGGAUUUAAACUCUAGGUACAAGUUUAUAAAAUCAGAGUUACAUCUCACAAUGAAUGAAACAAGCACAUAAAACAAAAGACGGGAAAAACACAGGCAAGACAAGAAAAGGAAAGACAAUGGUGCUAGCAUCAAGCUAAAAACCCACAAAUAAUUACAAUUAAGUUGAGAAUUAAGUAUUUUUAAGACCAGAAUGGGAAAAAUCUUUGAAAGAAGAAUAUGGUUCCGGAGAAAAAUAGGCACCUUUUUCUCCUCAAGCUUGUUGUGACCGAAAAUUGUUAACCUCUCUUGAGCACCAUCACUGGUGAGACCCUCUUUGCUACAUCUCAGAUUUUCAAAAACUUCUUCAAUGGGUAUGCUUUCCUGCACGCACAAAGAGUAUAAAUCCAUCAAAAAACACAAACAAACAACCAAAAUUAAUCCAAACAAAGAGCAAUAAACAAUUCUCAGAUCCAUUACCAAAUCCACAGUUUCCUUCAACACAGCUUCAAGAACUUCAGACUUGUCCUCCAUCUUUCUCUCUCUAACUCCCUAUCUAUCUAUCUCUCUAAAUUCUUUCACGAUAAAAUCAGUUGAAGAUCAAAACCCAUCAAGGAAGUUCAACUUCUGUGAUGAAAUUUUCAACAAAUCAAAGAGGAGCACCCACCCAUUAAUAAGACUUGAAUUUAAAAAUUAAACUUAUGAUCUGGAGAAGAAGAAUGGUAGACCCACCAACACCAAAGUUGAACCGGCUGAGAGACAAGUAGUAAUAGUUGCAGACUUGCAGUCCACAACCUCUUUCCCAUUUUUUGCCUUUAUUUACCAAAUAUCGAAACCUACCAAAAAAACAACAAAAACAGAAUAAAUAAAUAAAUAAAUAUUUUAGGGUGCGCAAAUUAUAGUAGUCCAUAAUUUAUGGUUGAUUUCUCAUUUAUUAAAAAUAACUUAAUUAAUUUCACAUAUUAAAAUUGUGAAAUUAAGGUGUGUAGUUUUAAUAUCCUUAUUUUUUAUUUCUAAAAAAAUAAACUUUCUUCUUUUGAUAUAUAUUUUUUGGGUCUUUUGAUAAUUGGAGUGUUAUGCGAGUGCCGCCGCCCUGGAUACUGGUGCAGCACUAAUAUUAUUUGGAAAGAGAAUAUAAUUUUGUUUACAUUUUGGAGUUUUGUCCUUUUUUCAGUAUUUUAAUUGACUUUUUAUAUUUAAAGGGAUGAGAGAUGAAUGGCCAUGAACGAUGAACCAGAG
RNAcentral lists this long non-coding RNA (9924 nucleotides) under Panax ginseng (ginseng). RNAcentral describes it as "long non-coding RNA (PGIN_LNC006087)". The record is from RNAcentral. Lineage: Eukaryota; Viridiplantae; Streptophyta; Magnoliopsida; Apiales; Araliaceae.